RNAcentral lists this ribosomal RNA (505 nucleotides) under uncultured bacterium. RNAcentral's name for it is "bacterial SSU rRNA". It matches the Rfam family "Bacterial small subunit ribosomal RNA", at positions 29 to 508 of the family's 1533-position model. The record is from RNAcentral.
AACGAACGCUGGCGGCGUGCCUAACACAUGCAAGUCGAACGGGAUUAGGGGGCUUGCUCCUUAAUCUAGUGGCGCACGGGUGAGUAACGCGUAGAUAAUCUGCCUGAUGAUCUGGAAUAACACUUCGAAAGGGGUGCUAAUACCGGAUAAGCCCACGGGUACUUUGGUGCUUGCGGGAAAAGGGGGGGACCUUUUAGGCCUUCUGUCAUCAGAUGAGUCUGCGUACCAUUAGCUAGUUGGUAGGUAAAGGCCUACCAAGGCGACGAUGGUUAGCUGGUCUGAGAGGAUGAUCAGCCACACUGGAACUGAGACACGGUCCAGACUCCUACGGGAGCAGCAGUGAGGAAUAUUGGUCAAUGGGAGCAAUCCUGAACCAGCAAUGCCGCGUGUGGGAUGGACGGGCUCAGCCCUAGUAAACCACUGUCGGAACGGGACGAAAGGGACGCCGUUCGAGGGUCUCGUAGGGACGGUACCGUACGAAAGGAAGGGUCGACGUAACGUACGU